This 435-nucleotide long non-coding RNA is filed under the name Anser cygnoides (Swan goose). RNAcentral's name for it is "lncRNA (ENSACDG00005015457.1)". Lineage: Eukaryota; Metazoa; Chordata; Aves; Anseriformes; Anatidae. The record is from RNAcentral.
AUGGCUUGGAAGAUGCUGGUGCCUGAAGGUGAAGACACCUCCAUACUGAGGCUAGGUCCAUGCUGCUGGAUGUCUGUGGGCAGCUGGAAUGAGCCCUCCGCACACCCGGCUAGGAGAAAAGAGAUGAGAUCCUGCUCAGUUCCCACUGAGACAAGGUUUACUUUAGUUUUACUUCGUUUAAUGUUGACCACGAAAAUGAUAUUAUUCAUCCCAAUUCCACUUCAGUAUGCAAGCUUCGAGUCUAGAUCAGAGACUGUACACAAGGAACCCGUCUCUCUGUGAAUUUAAACUUAAGGAAGGAGCCUGCACUGCCUUCUUUGUCUGGCAUUCUUCCUCUGAGACCUGGUCUGGCUCUGCAGGGGCAGUGCCCGUGUGCAGGGGUGCAGAGGAAAAGAGUCCCAUCCCAGCAGCACGGCCAGGGAGCACCAGCGCUUG